CAGGACACGCUACCGUCCGUCCUGCAUUAGCCAGAGUCUGGCACGAGCCACGCCGUCCUGUGCGCUCGUGUGCGAUCAGGAACCUGCGCUCCGAAGUCCGAGCGCAGCGGUGACGUCACAGCCCGGAUUUGCCGGCGACGGUUCCACGAUGCGCGUGCUGAACGCAUGGAGCGAGCGGCUGCUCAUGCAGCCCGCGCCAGAGCACGCAGCUCGGCUUGCGUGGGGAGACAAGGACGACCAAGACGGAACCCCGAUGCUGUUGAUGCGUCAGCUGGCAUAAGCAGGGAACCCGUGGCCACCCUGACGAGACGUGACCCGGGUGCGUUCUCCCUGGCUCACACGGUGGGGGGAGGAGCCCGACUGCACAGCCCAGAAGCAGCCACGAGACAAGGCACAGCACAAGAGCCCUUGACCUGGAAGUGGUUCCUGGCACACCAUGUGAAAGAGCACAAAGGAACAUGGCUGCUUUGGAAGGGGGUACAUUUUCUGAUGUGGUGGUGGUGAUAUUGGAGAAAUGGUUUUGUUUGUUCUUUCAAAGGGUCAAGUCUCGGAUUAAAUCCAGGUUAAUUUAAUUACUAUACAGCAGGUGUCGGGGAUUGAGAUGACUCCACAGAUUAAGGCCUGACCUAGGGCAUGAUGGGACAGAUUAAUGGCCCUGGGUAUGAUGGGAUAGCAGUAUUCCUCCAGUACCUUGCUCUCAUUAGAAGGUGAUCAUGUGACCGCAUUACUAGACACCAUAAGCUGUUAGAAAUGAUCCCUGUAUGAUUUGUAAAUAAACGGUCAUGCAAUAUAACUGGAAUAAACACAGACAUAAGAACAUCUGUCUUUAUAAUCCAGUUUUUUUUUUUAUUACUGAAAUAAAAAGGCACCAAGCCCA
Molecule: non-coding RNA, 877 nt
Organism: Electrophorus electricus (electric eel)
Lineage: Eukaryota; Metazoa; Chordata; Actinopteri; Gymnotiformes; Gymnotidae
Source: RefSeq, a predicted model, not a curated record